Molecule: ribosomal RNA, 419 nt
Filed under: uncultured bacterium
Lineage: Bacteria
Description: bacterial SSU rRNA
Rfam family: Bacterial small subunit ribosomal RNA
Source: RNAcentral
GAUGAACGCUGGCGGUAUGCUUAACACAUGCAAGUCGAACGGAGUCCUUCGGGACUUAGUGGCGGACGGGUGAGUAACGCGUGAGAAUCUGCCUUCAGGAGGGGGACAACAGCUGGAAACGGCUGCUAAUACCGCAUAUGUCGAGAGACGAAAGAUUUAUCGCCUGAAGAUGAGCUCGCGUCCGAUUAGCUAGUUGGUGAGGUAACGGCUUACCAAGGCAAUGAUCGGUAGCCGGUUUGAGAGGACAACCAGCCACACUGGGACUGAGACACGGCCCAGACUCCUACGGGAGGCAGCAGUGGGAAUUUUCCGCAAUGGGCGCAAGCCUGACGGAGCAAUACCGCGUGGGGGAUGAAGGUUUUUGGAUGUAAACCCUUUUGUCAAGGAAGAAGCUCUGACGGUACUUGACGAAUAAGCCU